GCAGUCGCCGCGGUAAUACGGAGGGAGCUAGCGUUAUUCGGAAUUACUGGGCGUAAAGCGCACGUAGGCGGCUUUGUAAGUUAGAGGUGAAAGCCUGGAGCUCAACUCCGGAAUUGCCUUUAAGACUGCAUCGCUUGAAUCCAGGAGAGGUGAGUGGAAUUCCGAGUGUAGAGGUGAAAUUCGUAGAUAUUCGGAAGAACACCAGUGGCGAAGGCGGCUCACUGGACUGGUAUUGACGCUGAGGUGCGAAAGCGUGGGGAGCAAACAGGAUUAGAUACCCCUGUAGUCCCUGUCUCUUAUAC
This 302-nucleotide ribosomal RNA is filed under the name uncultured bacterium. Its description in RNAcentral is "partial 16S ribosomal RNA". It matches the Rfam family "Bacterial small subunit ribosomal RNA", at positions 508 to 807 of the family's 1533-position model. The record is from RNAcentral.